AGGGUUUGAUUAUGGCUCAGGACGAACGCUGGCGGCGCGCCUAACACAUGCAAGUCGAACGAGCGAGAGAGAGCUUGCUUUCUCGAGCGAGUGGCGAACGGGUGAGUAACGCGUGAGGAACCUGCCUCAAAGAGGGGGACAACAGUUGGAAACGACUGCUAAUACCGCAUAAGCCCACAGGUCGGCAUCGACCAGAGGGAAAAGGAGCAAUCCGCUUUGAGAUGGCCUCGCGUCUGAUUAGCCAGUUGGCAGGGUAACGGCCUACCAAAGCGACGAUCAGUAGCCGACCUGAGAGGGUGACCGGCCACAUUGGGACUGAGACACGGCCCAA
RNAcentral lists this ribosomal RNA (331 nucleotides) under uncultured bacterium. RNAcentral describes it as "bacterial SSU rRNA". It matches the Rfam family "Bacterial small subunit ribosomal RNA", at positions 8 to 334 of the family's 1533-position model. The record is from RNAcentral.